Gavialis gangeticus (Gharial) is the source of this 1352-nucleotide long non-coding RNA. RefSeq lists it as uncharacterized. The record is from RefSeq and is a predicted model, not a curated record. NCBI's taxonomy places the organism in Eukaryota, Metazoa, Chordata, Crocodylia, Gavialidae. The transcript has 3 exons.
UAGGUUGGGGUGGGGUCUGGUGCUGGACCGCUGAUCCAGUUGCCCAUCUCUUGAAGGGGGCAUGGUCUCUGCUCUUUCCAGGGAUGUCUGCAGAGUUUCCUUGGGGCUGGCUGCCUCUGGGAUACCCCUCAUUGCACUACACUGCUCUUUGCUGCUAGGGAACAUCUGGUUUGCAGCCACAGUGGCCUGGCUGCCUACCUCAUAGUAAGUUUUCAGUAGAUGUCUGGGACCAUGAAUGAUGAAAGCAGGAGCUAAAGACACUAAACCAGGCCUGCACUCUUCCUUCUCCUGUUUCUUGCUCCUGUUCUCUUCCUAGUGUGAGGGGCUGUGGGUAGGAAGAAUGCUUCUGCCUUGCCAGCUUGGUUUGAUCCAGGAGGAAGAGCUGUCUCUUUUGGCCUCUACCUUUGCAUGGUACCACUAGACUUUUAAGAUUGCACUGAGCCCUUGCAGGCUGUCACAGCUGUCGUACUUCAGUAAGGCACGGUCCCCACACUGUACUGCAGCCCCUGGUCACAACACAGCGUGGCUGACCCCGGGGGUAGAAGUCGGUGAUUGUCGUUCAGCCGGACACGGGAAGCAUAAACUCCCCUUGUUCUGGCUAGCGGUCGGAGGAAGGAUAACUGUGUUCAGAACAAAGAGGGUUUUAAAGCAACCUGGUGGAAACAAAGUGGUUUCCCCACCCUUUGGCGCACAGUGAGCAAGGGCUGCUGUGUGAUGACUUGAAUUCAGGUUCUUGCUGUCCUUGGCUAACUCCAGAGCUGAACUACCAGGCAGAAGAGCGAGCAGAGUUUGCAAAUCUUGAGCUGACCUGGCUCAGACCAGUGCUGGCCAAAUUCCCAUUGAAUCUUGAGUUGAUGCUGCCGUCUUGGGAAUCAAAACCCAGAGCGGCUUAACACAUGCCUCUGGUCCUGGCAGCCCCAGGAGAUUUGGGGCUGUGUCCAGAACCAGCCAAGACCUCUGAGCUGUAGGUCUAGUGCAAUAAUGGUGAUUAUAUUGGUGAAGGUGCAAUGGCUAGUGUAGCAUUAGGUUGGGGCUGGGGGGAAAUGAAGUAAUGUUACUGUUGGGUAGUUAGCUGGAUGCAGUUUCACAAGCUUCUGCCCCUCUUUUUGGGCCCAGAAAACGGGGUCCUACGUAUUUGGUGCACAGGGCAUUAUGAGGGGACGUGGCUUGUACUGUAUGAAGAGGCCACUUGUGAUUUUGCUUUUUUAAUUUGUUCUUCAUCCUCCUGCAGCCAGGAGCAGCUUUUAGGAAGCCGUGCUGGGAAGCAACUCUUGCCUGAGUCCCUCUGACCCCUGUCUCCUACUUAGUGAUGCAGAAACACUGGUGGGCACAGGGGUGGGGGGUGUUGGGGG